Molecule: transfer RNA, 71 nt
Filed under: Planctomycetota bacterium
Lineage: Bacteria; Pseudomonadati; Planctomycetota
Description: Planctomycetes bacterium tRNA-Cys
Rfam family: tRNA
About the family: Transfer RNA (tRNA) molecules are approximately 80 nucleotides in length. Their secondary structure includes four short double-helical elements and three loops (D, anti-codon, and T loops).
Source: RNAcentral
GAUCAUAUGGCUGAAUGGUUAGGCAAUGGACUGCAAAUCUAUUGAUCUCAGUUCGAUUCUGAGUGUGAUCU